UACGGAGGGUGCAAGCGUUAAUCGGAAUUACUGGGCGUAAAGCGUGCGCAGGCGGUUUGUUAAGUCUGCUGUGAAAUCCCCGAGCUCAACCUGGGAAUGGCAUUGGAUACUGGCUCGCUAGAGUGCGGUAGAGGGUGGUGGAAUUCCCGGUGUAGCAGUGAAAUGCGUAGAGAUCGGAAGGAACGCCCGUGGCGAAAGCGAGGUCCUGGACGCCUACUGACGCUGAGACGCGAAAGCCAGGGGAGCGAACGGG
This 253-nucleotide ribosomal RNA is filed under the name uncultured bacterium. Its description in RNAcentral is "partial 16S ribosomal RNA". It matches the Rfam family "Bacterial small subunit ribosomal RNA", at positions 524 to 776 of the family's 1533-position model. The record is from RNAcentral.